RNAcentral lists this ribosomal RNA (253 nucleotides) under uncultured bacterium. RNAcentral's name for it is "partial 16S ribosomal RNA". It matches the Rfam family "Bacterial small subunit ribosomal RNA", at positions 524 to 776 of the family's 1533-position model. The record is from RNAcentral.
UACGAAGGUCCCGAGCGUUAUCCGGAUUUAUUGGGUUUAAAGGGUGCGUAGGCGGGUUAUUAAGUCAGUGGUGAAAGCCUACAGCUUAACUGUAGAAUUGCCAUUGAUACUGAUGAUCUUGAGUAUGAUUGAGGCGGGCGGAAUGUGUCAUGUAGCGGUGAAAUGCUUAGAUAUGACACAGAACACCGAUUGCGAAGGCAGCUCACUAAGUCAUAACUGACGCUGAUGCACGAAAGCGUGGGGAGCAAACAGG